UUUUGGUUUACAGAACAUAGGCAUAUGAUCAGAACCUUCAAUCUUUAUCACUUCUUCAACAGUAUAAUUUGAAAUCAUCCAUUGCUGAAACUCCAGUGGAAUUCCUUUGUCCUCUUCGCAGAUGACAUAUACUCGGCUAACUGAUCCAUACCCUUCCUUAGAGAAAUUUUUUGCGUUGGACAAAUCGUGUAGGAACAGUGAUGAUGGCCUCACCAAAGCCUUUGCCAAUUCAAGAUCCUCAAUGG
RNAcentral lists this unclassified non-coding RNA (245 nucleotides) under Hevea brasiliensis (rubber tree). Lineage: Eukaryota; Viridiplantae; Streptophyta; Magnoliopsida; Malpighiales; Euphorbiaceae. The record is from RNAcentral.